GACGAACGCUGGCGGCGUGCUUAACACAUGCAAGUCGAACGGAAAGGCCUCUUUCGGGGGGUACUCGAGCGGCGAACGGGUGAGUAACACGUGAGUAACCUGCCCUUGACUUUGGGAUAACUUCAGGAAACUGGGGCUAAUACCGGAUAGGAGCUCCUGCUGCAUGGUGGGGGUUGGAAAGUUUCGGCGGUUGGGGAUGGACUCGCGGCUUAUCAGCUUGUUGGUGGGGUAGUGGCUUACCAAGGCUUUGACGGGUAGCCGGCCUGAGAGGGUGACCGGCAACAUUGGGACUGAGAUACGGCCCAGACUCCGACGGGAGGCAGCAGGGGGGAAUAUUGCACAAUGGGUGGAAGCCUGAUGCAGCAACGCCGUGGGCGGGAGGACGGCCUUCGGGUUGUAAACCGCUUUCGCUCAUGACGAAGCUUUGUGUGACGGUAGUGGGUAAAGAAGCACCGGCUAACUACGUG
RNAcentral lists this ribosomal RNA (467 nucleotides) under uncultured bacterium. RNAcentral's name for it is "partial 16S ribosomal RNA". It matches the Rfam family "Bacterial small subunit ribosomal RNA", at positions 28 to 507 of the family's 1533-position model. The record is from RNAcentral.